UACGAAGGGGGCUAGCGUUGCUCGGAAUCACUGGGCGUAAAGCGCACGUAGGCGGAUCUUUAAGUCAGGGGUGAAAUCCCAAGGCUCAACCUUGGAACUGCCUUUGAUACUGGGGAUCUCGAGUCCGGAAGAGGUUGGUGGAACUGCGAGUGUAGAGGUGAAAUUCGUAGAUAUUCGCAAGAACACCGGUGGCGAAGGCGGCCAACUGGUCCGGUACUGACGCUGAGGUGCGAAAGCGUGGGGAGCAAACAGG
Molecule: ribosomal RNA, 253 nt
Filed under: uncultured bacterium
Lineage: Bacteria
Description: partial 16S ribosomal RNA
Rfam family: Bacterial small subunit ribosomal RNA
Source: RNAcentral